UACGGGGGGGGCAAGCGUUGUUCGGAAUUACUGGGUGUAAAGGGCUCGUAGGCGGCCAACUAAGUCGGAUGUGAAAUCCCCAGGCUUAACCUGGGAACUGCAUCCGAUACUGGAUGGCUUGAAUCCGGGAGAGGGAUGCAGAAUUCCAGGUGUAGCGGUGAAAUGCGUAGAUAUCUGGAGGAACACCGGUGGCGAAGGCGGCAUCCUGGACCGAUACUGACGCUGAGGAGCGAAAGCCAGGGGAGCAAACGGG
RNAcentral lists this ribosomal RNA (253 nucleotides) under uncultured bacterium. RNAcentral's name for it is "partial 16S ribosomal RNA". It matches the Rfam family "Bacterial small subunit ribosomal RNA", at positions 524 to 776 of the family's 1533-position model. The record is from RNAcentral.